GACGAACGCUGGCGGCGUGCCUAAUACAUGCAAGUCGAACGCUUCUUUUCCCACCGGAGCUUGCUCCACCGGGAAAAGAGGAGUGGCGAACGGGUGAGUAACACGUGGGUAACCUGCCCAUCAGAAGGGGAUAACACUUGGAAACAGGUGCUAAUACCGUAUAACAAUCGAAACCGCAUGGUUUCGUUUUGAAAGGCGCUUUACGGUGCCGCUGAUGGAUGGACCCGCGGUGCAUUAGCUAGUUGGUGAGGUAACGGCUCACCAAGGCCACGAUGCAUAGCCGACCUGAGAGGGUGAUCGGCCACAUUGGGACUGAGACACGGCCCAA
This 328-nucleotide ribosomal RNA is filed under the name uncultured bacterium. RNAcentral describes it as "bacterial SSU rRNA". It matches the Rfam family "Bacterial small subunit ribosomal RNA", at positions 28 to 334 of the family's 1533-position model. The record is from RNAcentral.